GCGCCCGUAGCUCAGCCCGGAUAGAGCAACGGACUUCUAAUCCGUAGGCCACAGGUUCGAAUCCUGUCGGGCGCGCCA
RNAcentral lists this transfer RNA (78 nucleotides) under Halanaerobium salsuginis. Its description in RNAcentral is "tRNA_Arg_TCT". It matches the Rfam family "tRNA". Rfam says of the family: Transfer RNA (tRNA) molecules are approximately 80 nucleotides in length. Their secondary structure includes four short double-helical elements and three loops (D, anti-codon, and T loops). Further hydrogen bonds mediate the characteristic L-shaped molecular structure. tRNAs have two regions of fundamental functional importance: the anti-codon, which is responsible for specific mRNA codon recognition, and the 3' end, to which the tRNAs corresponding amino acid is attached (by aminoacyl-tRNA synthetases). tRNAs cope with the degeneracy of the genetic code in two manners: having more than one tRNA (with a specific anti-codon) for a particular amino acid; and 'wobble' base-pairing, i.e. permitting non-standard base-pairing at the 3rd anti-codon position. Lineage: Bacteria; Bacillati; Bacillota; Clostridia; Halanaerobiales; Halanaerobiaceae. RNAcentral also lists the same sequence under 6 other names. The record is from RNAcentral.